CGAACGCUGGCGGCGUGCCUCAUACAUGCAAGUAGAACGCUGAAGAGAGGAGCUUGCUCUUCUUGGAUGAGUUGCGAACGGGUGAGUAACGCGUAGGUAACCUGCCUUGUAGCGGGGGAUAACUAUUGGAAACGAUAGCUAAUACCGCAUAACAAUGGAUGACACAUGUCAUUUAUUUGAAAGGGGCAAUUGCUCCACUACAAGAUGGACCUGCGUUGUAUUAGCUAGUAGGUGAGGUAAUGGCUCACCUAGGCGACGAUACAUAGCCGACCUGAGAGGGUGAUCGGCCACACUGGGACUGAGACACGGCCCAGACUCCUACGGGAGGCAGCAGUAGGGAAUCUUCGGCAAUGGGGGCAACCCUGACCGAGCAACGCCGCGUGAGUGAAGAAGGGUUUCGGAUCGUAAAGCUCUGUUGUAAGUCAAGAACGGGUGUGAGAGUGGAAAGUUCACACUGUGACGGUAGCUGACCAGAAAGGGACGGCUAACUACGUG
RNAcentral lists this ribosomal RNA (495 nucleotides) under uncultured bacterium. RNAcentral's name for it is "partial 16S ribosomal RNA". It matches the Rfam family "Bacterial small subunit ribosomal RNA", at positions 30 to 507 of the family's 1533-position model. The record is from RNAcentral.